GUUGUUGUGUUUAAUUAAUUUAUCAUCUACUACUUGCACCACCAUUCGAUCCCAACACCUGAGCAGUAUCCUUCACGCAUUUUGUUUAUGAUGGGAGUACACAUACGAGUGAUAGCAUUCAAUUCAAUAUCAAUAUUAUAACUUAGCGGGCUAUAAGUGUGAUUGAUGACUUCUAUAUAUUAUGAAUUUUGUUGCAGCGACACUGGAAAGUUGAUCUUCAAGCCCACACAACCCUCUUAUCCCCAUGAGAUUUAGAGUAUUCGCAACCUCUUGAUAUUUUGAAAACUUUGAGUUCUACAAAAGAAUUUGGAGGAUGGAGGUAACGAGAAAUUGAAGGCACACCUAACAGAACAGAUGUAUGAAAAUCUUGGAAUCGUAAUGGUUUUUACAAUGGUCAGUGCAGCUCAAGAAUGGCUGAACGUACAGUGGGACAAGAUAAACCUGAGGAGAGAGGAGACUGCGGCACAAAAACUGAAGGAGGAAAAGGAUGCAGAAGGGCUAAGACUAGUUUUCCUCAUUGUUCUUUUAAGAUUUAAAGACUCUAAUAAGUAAUUACAUAAAAUACAGUCUGUUAUGUAGUUAUCACAUUUCUAAAAUAAGAAAAACGAUGAAAUUAGAUUUCUCUUUAAUUUUACUUUUCCAGAAAAUUAGGAACACUUAGUAUCUUAUUAUCACAGUUACUUUUUUAUUUGUGUUUAAAAUUUUAUUUGUGUUUAAAAUUGUUAGAGCACGCAGGGAAAGGGCAGGCAGACCGGGAUUAAAAGAACGCACGUUUUAUAGGAAUAACUAGAACAGUAUAUUUAGCGAGACGUUAUACACAGAACGGAAGAGAUCGAGCGAGCGAUCGACAGCAGGGCCACGGGUAAGAUAAGUAGAAGGGAAAACGGACUCGAGAAAUUAGCUAGCGUAGAUGUCGCCGUAACAGGGGCAAUGAAUAGUUAUACAUUAGAGGUGAAUUCCGUAUGUGGGUCGCUUUGAUCCAACAAAAAUAUUGAAUUUAUUUGUGUCUAGAAUAUUGAAAACACGGGCUAAGACGUUCGAAAUAUAUUCAUUCCCCCAGACGACAAUCGUAAUGGUUUUAUAGACUAUUUGAGAGAACUCUCGUAACUGUCGAACCUUUUUCAAGCUGGAAAGAUAACUUUGAUGAAGAAAUGGGCUACACGAAACGGAAAGAAUUAGCGGAUAGCGAGGGCAAAAAGUUAACAGGCAGGGUGAUGCUGUAAAAGUAGAAUGAGACAGUUUGGUCCAAAACCUAGACGAUGAUGAGGACGAUCCAGACGAUGAUGAGGACGACCCAGACUAUGAUUCAAAUAUCUCGGAUGAUAGUGCCUAAACAAGCUUGAUUCAGUAGCCAUCAAAGUGAUACGUGGAAUUAAAUUUAAGGAAUUUAUUGAAUUAUUACAAAGGGAAAAAGAAAAAUGAGUAAAAUGUAUAUCGCAUUCUC
Molecule: long non-coding RNA, 1444 nt
Organism: Solenopsis invicta (red fire ant)
Lineage: Eukaryota; Metazoa; Arthropoda; Insecta; Hymenoptera; Formicidae
Exons: 3
Source: RefSeq, a predicted model, not a curated record